This is a long non-coding RNA of Lagopus leucura (white-tailed ptarmigan), 154 nucleotides long. RefSeq lists it as uncharacterized. The record is from RefSeq and is a predicted model, not a curated record. The transcript has 3 exons. NCBI's taxonomy places the organism in Eukaryota, Metazoa, Chordata, Aves, Galliformes, Phasianidae.
AGGGACGCAUGAUGAGUCUGAAGAUGGUUAAGACCAAACUAAUACACGUACUUAUCUCUCUGGCACAGAAGGAGCUGAGGUUCAUUCUGUUCAUCUCUGGAGUGCAUCUUCCAGUUUGACUUCCUCUGUAUUUGUGGUAGAUGCGUGUCAUGCA